AAUAGAUACCCGGGUAGUCCACCCCGUAAACGUUGGGAACUAGUUGUGGGGUCCAUUCCACGGAUUCCGUGACGCAGCUAACGCAUUAAGUUCCCCGCCUGGGGAGUACGGCCGCAAGGCUAAAACUCAAAGGAAUUGACGGGGACCCGCACAAGCGGCGGAGCAUGCGGAUUAAUUCGAUGCAACGCGAAGAACCUUACCAAGGCUUGACAUAUACGAGAACGGGCCAGAAAUGGUCAACUCUUUGGACACUCGUAUACAGGUGGUGCAUGGUUGUCGUCAGCUCGUGUCGUGAGAUGUUGGGUUAAGUCCCGCAACGAGCGCAACCCUCGUUCUAUGUUGCCAGCACGUUAUGGUGGGAACUCAUGGGAUACUGCCGGGGUCAACUCGGAGGAAGGUGGGGAUGACGUCAAAUCAUCAUGCCCCUUAUGUCUUGGGCUUCACGCAUGCUACAAUGGCCGGUACAAAGGGCUGCGAUGCCGUAAGGUGGAGCGAAUCCCAAAAAGCCGGUCCCAGUUCGGAUUGAGGUCUGCAACUCGACCUC
This 544-nucleotide ribosomal RNA is filed under the name uncultured bacterium. Its description in RNAcentral is "bacterial SSU rRNA". It matches the Rfam family "Bacterial small subunit ribosomal RNA", at positions 777 to 1319 of the family's 1533-position model. The record is from RNAcentral.